UACAUCUUUAUGAAUUUUAAUAAUAGAAAUAUAUUUGAAAAUUUAACAAAAACGUACUUAAAGUAAUAAAAUGGAUAGCAUAACACGGCAACACACUCUUGCCUUUUUAAGGCAUUUGGCCGUUUUAGUAGGAGAAUAUUUAGGAAACCCUAAUGAAGUGUCUGGCCUUUGGCCCUGUCUCUCUCAUUCAUUGGCAUUCUUAAUGUAAUUUCUGCCAUUCUAAAAGCUUUCGCUUUCGUAUGUAUGGGUGAAAAUGAUAGGAUUUGUUACUUAUAGGUUUAUACAAUGGUCGAGACAUACGCAUACAACGCAGAAAUAAUACAAUGCAAAUAAUUCAAGACAAUCAUCGUUCUUACGAUGCUUUGCAGUAUCCGUUGAUAUUUUGAGAAGGAGAAGAUGGAUAUCAUUUAAAUAUGAAACAAAGGAAUCCAACUGCAGCUGAAGACAGUUAGUGCUAUGAACUUCUACGCUUAUCGGUUGAUGAUUCGUGCUAAUGAAAACAACAACAUUCUCCGAUACAGGCAACUAUUUCAUCAGUACACGGUCAAUUAUAUGUUGCUUGUUCAAGAGUACGGCUCAAGGAUUAACCAAAAAUAUUGUACAACCAAUGGCAUUACAACAAAUUAAGUUUAUGUAAAUUACAAAAAAUAAAUGUUAUAAAAUAAAAUAA
Molecule: long non-coding RNA, 670 nt
Organism: Bactrocera neohumeralis
Lineage: Eukaryota; Metazoa; Arthropoda; Insecta; Diptera; Tephritidae
Exons: 2
Source: RefSeq, a predicted model, not a curated record